Molecule: long non-coding RNA, 938 nt
Organism: Phragmites australis (common reed)
Lineage: Eukaryota; Viridiplantae; Streptophyta; Magnoliopsida; Poales; Poaceae
Exons: 3
Source: RefSeq, a predicted model, not a curated record
AGACUGCCUUAUCUAUUUGUCAUCCUUCCCUACCCACCUCAGCCACCUCUGUCCUCCAUCCCCACCCACACACGCCUUGUUGGUGCCGCCUCUCCCCAUCCACCAUGUUGCCUCCCGUGAAACCCCCACCCACACCUGGUGUCUUGGUUGGCCUGCUCGGGCGCUGCCAAGCGUGCCAAACACAGGAGCUUGAGCUCAACCUGGUUGUUGAUCAUGGAAAGCAUGCUGUUGAAGUUGUUUGCUGCGGAGUGCUGUAAUAAUCCAAUCUAUCCAAUCGCUGUGAUUUGCUAAUAAUUUGUUAGUUUUUGUUGGUGUGUUUGCUACGUGUGGGAAUUUGAGCAUAUUGACAGAUGGACUUCAAGCCAAAUCAUGGGGAAUCCGAGACUGAAGAAGAGAAGGAAGUGGAGAGGGAUGACGAGGUGCAAGAUCUGGUGCUGCCACGCUCGGGGAUGGCUGAAUCCGACUGCUUGGUCUCUUGCGGGUGAGCUCUAGGUCGCAGCACAAGUAGCCCAGUUCGUAGGGUGGGCAACCCGACGCCGCCGCCGAGCACAUGGGUGCUCUUCCUCUCUGUUGAUCGAAAUGGAGUACGACGACAAGUACAGGAAGGAUUAGAGACUCAAGUGUGACUGCCUCAUCUUUGACCUUGAUGAAGAGGAUUGCUAUUACAAGAACUAUACUGAAGAGGUCGGUCUACAUUAUCCCCUCCCCAGCCUGGUCACGCCCCUCCACGGUGGCCCAGGCGUAGCUCUAUCUGACGCUGAUGGGAGAAAGCAAGUGGUGUCGAAGGAAGAGGUGGAAGAUCAUCUAGAGAGAGAUGAGGAGUGGAGACAGAAACAUAGAGAAGAUUUGGAUAAUUUUCGGAGUUUAUGCAGGCCAAGUUGAAACCCUUGGUUUCGUCGGAUCCACAGAAGCAACUUCUCCGGUCUCAAGGAUUGAAG